GACGAACGCUGGCGGCGUGCUUAACACAUGCAAGUCGAACGGAAAGGCCCUGCUUGCAGGGUACUCGAGUGGCGAACGGGUGAGUAACACGUGGGUGAUCUGCCCUGCACUUCGGGAUAAGCCUGGGAAACUGGGUCUAAUACCGGAUAGGAGCCAUUUUUAGUGUGAUGGUUGGAAAGUUUUUUCGGUGUAGGAUGAGCUCGCGGCCUAUCAGCUUGUUGGUGGGGUAAUGGGCUACCAAGGCGGCGACGGGUAGCCGGCCUGAGAGGGUGGACGGCCACAUUGGGACUGAGAUACGGCCCAGACGCCUACGGGAGGCAGCAGGGGGGAAUAUUGCACAAUGGGCGCAAGCCUGAUGCAGGGACGCCGCGUGGGGGAUGACGGCCUUCGGGUUGUAAACUCCUUUCGCUAGGGACGAAGCUUUUUGUGACGGUACCUAGAUAAGAGGCAGGGGCUAACUACGUG
Molecule: ribosomal RNA, 465 nt
Filed under: uncultured bacterium
Lineage: Bacteria
Description: partial 16S ribosomal RNA
Rfam family: Bacterial small subunit ribosomal RNA
Source: RNAcentral